Molecule: ribosomal RNA, 253 nt
Filed under: uncultured bacterium
Lineage: Bacteria
Description: partial 16S ribosomal RNA
Rfam family: Bacterial small subunit ribosomal RNA
Source: RNAcentral
UACGAAGGGGGCUAGCGUUGUUCGGAAUCACUGGGCGUAAAGGGCGCGUAGGCGGCCGAUCAAGUCGGGGGUGAAAGCCUGUGGCUCAACCACAGAAUUGCCUUCGAUACUGCAUGGCUUGAGACCGGAAGAGGUAAGUGGAACUGCGAGUGUAGAGGUGAAAUUCGUAGAUAUUCGCAAGAAUACCAGUGGCGAAGGCGGCUUACUGGUCCGGUUCUGACGCUGAGGCGCGAAAGCGUGGGGAGCAAACAGG